GUCGUCUUGAAAAUGACCUCAAUUCGGAAGCGCCCCCACCCGAACAGACUGUCGAAAAAUCGGCGCGAUGACGAGACGCAGACACGUGUUUUUGACUGGGGACGUUGAAAAUUCGCUUUUUUUGGCGGAGAGGGGCACCGCCGGGCACACACCAAGGGCAUCGUCA
Molecule: non-coding RNA, 166 nt
Organism: Caenorhabditis elegans
Lineage: Eukaryota; Metazoa; Nematoda; Chromadorea; Rhabditida; Rhabditidae
Source: Ensembl